GGAAUCUUGCGCAAUGGACGGGAGUCCGACGCAGCGACGCCGCGUGGGUGAAGACGGCCUUCGGGUUGUAAAGCCCUUUUCUGGGGGAAGAGAGAGGGCGGUACUCCAGGAAUAAGUGUCGGCUAACUACGUGCCAGCAGCCGCGGUAAUACGUAGGACACGAGCGUUAUCCGGAUUUACUGGGCGUAAAGCGCCUGUAGGCGGUUCUUCAAGUCGUUUGUGAAAGCCCUGGGCUCAACCUGGGGAGGCCAAGCGAUACUGGAGGACUUGAGGGUGACAGAGGGGAGUGGAAUUUCCGGUGUAGCGGUAAAAUGCGCAGAUAUCGGGAGGAACACCAGUGGCGAAGGCGGCUCCCUGGGUCACCCCUGACGCUGAGAGGCGAAAGCUAGGGGAGCAAACAG
RNAcentral lists this ribosomal RNA (401 nucleotides) under uncultured bacterium. RNAcentral describes it as "bacterial SSU rRNA". It matches the Rfam family "Bacterial small subunit ribosomal RNA", at positions 358 to 775 of the family's 1533-position model. The record is from RNAcentral.